CCUGCGGCCAUGCUGGGCUAGGACAAGAGGCAGAGGCAGAGAGACAGAGAGGAGCCACCCUAAGAAGAGAGACCAGAUACCCUUUUCUCAUCCUUUGAGUUCAACAGAUGUCUCUUCUGGUUGCAAGUGACAGAAGCCCACACAGAAAAGGCUCAGACCAAAGAGAAAUUUAUGGGCUCCUGAAACCGUAUGUCAGAGAGAGAUUGGGCCAGGGCUGGGAUGUGACCCCGGCUCUUUCUUGGUUUCUCCUCGCCGCUUCUCUCUCUCCUGCAGCCUCACAGUCUCAGACAGGAUUCUUUCAAGAAUUGCAAACUUGGCUGAAGACCUUCCUGUCCCCUUUCUUACCUCCCAUGUACAGGAUGGGGGUGAUGAUCCCACUUCUCUGACUCUCACCCAGAAGUUAGGAACUCCUUAAGGUCGGAAUUCCAGCAUAGGCCUCACUGGGCUAAAAUCAAGGCAUCUGAAUGGUGGUGCUUCUCUCCGGAGGCUCCAGGAGAAGAUGCUUCCUUGCUUAUUUGGGUUGCUGGGAGAAUUCAGCUUCUUUCAUUGUAAAACUGAGGUCCUCUUUUCCCCGCUGGCUGUCGGCUAAGGACCUUUUUUUUUUUUUGAGACGGAGUCUCGCUCUG
Molecule: long non-coding RNA, 626 nt
Filed under: Homo sapiens (human)
Lineage: Eukaryota; Metazoa; Chordata; Mammalia; Primates; Hominidae
Description: HSALNT0371251
Source: RNAcentral